This 1068-nucleotide ribosomal RNA is filed under the name Leuconostoc mesenteroides. RNAcentral's name for it is "bacterial SSU rRNA". It matches the Rfam family "Bacterial small subunit ribosomal RNA", at positions 35 to 1086 of the family's 1533-position model. The record is from RNAcentral. Lineage: Bacteria; Bacillati; Bacillota; Bacilli; Lactobacillales; Lactobacillaceae.
GGGGGGCGGGGUGCUAUACAUGCAGUCGACGCACAGCGAAAGGUGCUUGCACCUUUCAAGUGAGUGGCGAACGGGUGAGUAACACGUGGACAACCUGCCUCAAGGCUGGGGAUAACAUUUGGAAACAGAUGCUAAUACCGAAUAAAACUUAGUGUCGCAUGACACAAAGUUAAAAGGCGCUUCGGCGUCACCUAGAGAUGGAUCCGCGGUGCAUUAGUUAGUUGGUGGGGUAAAGGCCUACCAAGACAAUGAUGCAUAGCCGAGUUGAGAGACUGAUCGGCCACAUUGGGACUGAGACACGGCCCAAACUCCUACGGGAGGCUGCAGUAGGGAAUCUUCCACAAUGGGCGAAAGCCUGAUGGAGCAACGCCGCGUGUGUGAUGAAGGCUUUCGGGUCGUAAAGCACUGUUGUAUGGGAAGAACAGCUAGAAUAGGAAAUGAUUUUAGUUUGACGGUACCAUACCAGAAAGGGACGGCUAAAUACGUGCCAGCAGCCGCGGUAAUACGUAUGUCCCGAGCGUUAUCCGGAUUUAUUGGGCGUAAAGCGAGCGCAGACGGUUUAUUAAGUCUGAUGUGAAAGCCCGGAGCUCAACUCCGGAAUGGCAUUGGAAACUGGUUAACUUGAGUGCAGUAGAGGUAAGUGGAACUCCAUGUGUAGCGGUGGAAUGCGUAGAUAUAUGGAAGAACACCAGUGGCGAAGGCGGCUUACUGGACUGCAACUGACGUUGAGGCUCGAAAGUGUGGGUAGCAAACAGGAUUAGAUACCCUGGUAGUCCACACCGUAAACGAUGAACACUAGGUGUUAGGAGGUUUCCGCCUCUUAGUGCCGAAGCUAACGCAUUAAGUGUUCCGCCUGGGGAGUACGACCGCAAGGUUGAAACUCAAAGGAAUUGACGGGGACCCGCACAAGCGGUGGAGCAUGUGGUUUAAUUCGAAGCAACGCGAAGAACCUUACCAGGUCUUGACAUCCUUUGAAGCUUUUAGAGAUAGAAGUGUUCUCUUCGGAGACAAAGUGACAGGUGGUGCAUGGUCGUCGUCAGCUCGUGUCGUGAGAUGUUGGGUUAAGUC